UACGGAGGGUGCAAGCGUUAUCCGGAUUCACUGGGUUUAAAGGGUGCGUAGGAGGGCAGGUAAGUCAGUGGUGAAAUCUCCGAGCUUAACUUGGAAACUGCCGUUGAUACUAUCUGUCUUGAAUAUUGUGGAGGUGAGCGGAAUAUGUCAUGUAGCGGUGAAAUGCUUAGAUAUGACAUAGAACACCAAUUGCGUAGGCAGCUUACUACACGAUCAUUGACGCUGAGGCACGAAAGCGUGGGGAGCAAACAGG
RNAcentral lists this ribosomal RNA (253 nucleotides) under uncultured bacterium. Its description in RNAcentral is "partial 16S ribosomal RNA". It matches the Rfam family "Bacterial small subunit ribosomal RNA", at positions 524 to 776 of the family's 1533-position model. The record is from RNAcentral.